Molecule: transfer RNA, 71 nt
Filed under: Camelus ferus (Wild Bactrian camel)
Lineage: Eukaryota; Metazoa; Chordata; Mammalia; Artiodactyla; Camelidae
Rfam family: tRNA
About the family: Transfer RNA (tRNA) molecules are approximately 80 nucleotides in length. Their secondary structure includes four short double-helical elements and three loops (D, anti-codon, and T loops).
Source: Rfam by way of RNAcentral
GAGGGUGUGGCUCAGUGGCAGAGCGUGUGCACAGCGCGCGUGAGGCCCUGGGUUCAAUCCCCAGCCCCUCU